RNAcentral lists this ribosomal RNA (2286 nucleotides) under Staphylococcus aureus. Its description in RNAcentral is "partial 23S ribosomal RNA". It matches the Rfam family "Bacterial large subunit ribosomal RNA", at positions 1 to 2285 of the family's 2925-position model. The record is from RNAcentral. Lineage: Bacteria; Bacillati; Bacillota; Bacilli; Caryophanales; Staphylococcaceae.
GAUUAAGUUAUUAAGGGCGCACGGUGGAUGCCUUGGCACUAGAAGCCGAUGAAGGACGUUACUAACGACGAUAUGCUUUGGGGAGCUGUAAGUAAGCUUUGAUCCAGAGAUUUCCGAAUGGGGAAACCCAGCAUGAGUUAUGUCAUGUUAUCGAUAUGUGAAUACAUAGCAUAUCAGAAGGCACACCCGGAGAACUGAAACAUCUUAGUACCCGGAGGAAGAGAAAGAAAAUUCGAUUCCCUUAGUAGCGGCGAGCGAAACGGGAAGAGCCCAAACCAACAAGCUUGCUUGUUGGGGUUGUAGGACACUCUAUACGGAGUUACAAAGGACGACAUUAGACGAAUCAUCUGGAAAGAUGAAUCAAAGAAGGUAAUAAUCCUGUAGUCGAAAAUGUUGUCUCUCUUGAGUGGAUCCUGAGUACGACGGAGCACGUGAAAUUCCGUCGGAAUCUGGGAGGACCAUCUCCUAAGGCUAAAUACUCUCUAGUGACCGAUAGUGAACCAGUACCGUGAGGGAAAGGUGAAAAGCACCCCGGAAGGGGAGUGAAAUAGAACCUGAAACCGUGUGCUUACAAGUAGUCAGAGCCCGUUAAUGGGUGAUGGCGUGCCUUUUGUAGAAUGAACCGGCGAGUUACGAUUUGAUGCAAGGUUAAGCAGUAAAUGUGGAGCCGUAGCGAAAGCGAGUCUGAAUAGGGCGUUUAGUAUUUGGUCGUAGACCCGAAACCAGGUGAUCUACCCUUGGUCAGGUUGAAGUUCAGGUAACACUGAAUGGAGGACCGAACCGACUUACGUUGAAAAGUGAGCGGAUGAACUGAGGGUAGCGGAGAAAUUCCAAUCGAACCUGGAGAUAGCUGGUUCUCUCCGAAAUAGCUUUAGGGCUAGCCUCAAGUGAUGAUUAUUGGAGGUAGAGCACUGUUUGGACGAGGGGCCCCUCUCGGGUUACCGAAUUCAGACAAACUCCGAAUGCCAAUUAAUUUAACUUGGGAGUCAGAACAUGGGUGAUAAGGUCCGUGUUCGAAAGGGAAACAGCCCAGACCACCAGCUAAGGUCCCAAAAUAUAUGUUAAGUGGAAAAGGAUGUGGCGUUGCCCAGACAACUAGGAUGUUGGCUUAGAAGCAGCCAUCAUUUAAAGAGUGCGUAAUAGCUCACUAGUCGAGUGACACUGCGCCGAAAAUGUACCGGGGCUAAACAUAUUACCGAAGCUGUGGAUUGUCCUUUGGACAAUGGUAGGAGAGCGUUCUAAGGGCGUUGAAGCAUGAUCGUAAGGACAUGUGGAGCGCUUAGAAGUGAGAAUGCCGGUGUGAGUAGCGAAAGACGGGUGAGAAUCCCGUCCACCGAUUGACUAAGGUUUCCAGAGGAAGGCUCGUCCGCUCUGGGUUAGUCGGGUCCUAAGCUGAGGCCGACAGGCGUAGGCGAUGGAUAACAGGUUGAUAUUCCUGUACCACCUAUAAUCGUUUUAAUCGAUGGGGGGACGCAGUAGGAUAGGCGAAGCGUGCGAUUGGAUUGCACGUCUAAGCAGUAAGGCUGAGUAUUAGGCAAAUCCGGUACUCGUUAAGGCUGAGCUGUGAUGGGGAGAAGACAUUGUGUCUUCGAGUCGUUGAUUUCACACUGCCGAGAAAAGCCUCUAGAUAGAAAAUAGGUGCCCGUACCGCAAACCGACACAGGUAGUCAAGAUGAGAAUUCUAAGGUGAGCGAGCGAACUCUCGUUAAGGAACUCGGCAAAAUGACCCCGUAACUUCGGGAGAAGGGGUGCUCUUUAGGGUUAACGCCCAGAAGAGCCGCAGUGAAUAGGCCCAAGCGACUGUUUAUCAAAAACACAGGUCUCUGCUAAACCGUAAGGUGAUGUAUAGGGGCUGACGCCUGCCCGGUGCUGGAAGGUUAAGAGGAGUGGUUAGCUUCUGCGAAGCUACGAAUCGAAGCCCCAGUAAACGGCGGCCGUAACUAUAACGGUCCUAAGGUAGCGAAAUUCCUUGUCGGGUAAGUUCCGACCCGCACGAAAGGCGUAACGAUUUGGGCACUGUCUCAACGAGAGACUCGGUGAAAUCAUAGUACCUGUGAAGAUGCAGGUUACCCGCGACAGGACGGAAAGACCCCGUGGAGCUUUACUGUAGCCUGAUAUUGAAAUUCGGCACAGCUUGUACAGGAUAGGUAGGAGCCUUUGAAACGUGAGCGCUAGCUUACGUGGAGGCGCUGGUGGGAUACUACCCUAGCUGUGUUGGCUUUCUAACCCGCACCACUUAUCGUGGUGGGAGACAGUGUCAGGCGGGCAGUUUGACUGGGGCGGUCG